RNAcentral lists this ribosomal RNA (468 nucleotides) under uncultured bacterium. RNAcentral's name for it is "partial 16S ribosomal RNA". It matches the Rfam family "Bacterial small subunit ribosomal RNA", at positions 28 to 507 of the family's 1533-position model. The record is from RNAcentral.
GACGAACGCUGGCGGCGUGCUUAACACAUGCAAGUCGAACGGAAAGGCCCUGCUUUUGUGGGGUGCUCGAGUGGCGAACGGGUGAGUAACACGUGAGUAACCUGCCCUUGACUUUGGGAUAACUUCAGGAAACUGGGGCUAAUACCGGAUAGGGGCUCCUGCUGCAUGGUGGGGGUUGGAAAGUUUCGGCGGUUGGGGAUGGACUCGCGGCUUAUCAGCUUGUUGGUGGGGUAGGGGCUUACCAAGGCUUUGACGGGUAGCCGGCCUGAGAGGGUGACCGGCCACAUUGGGACUGAGAGACGGCCCAGACUCCUACGGGAGGCAGCAGUGGGGAAUAUUGCACAAUGGGCGGAAGCCUGAUGCAGCAACGCCGCGUGCGGGAUGACGGCCUUCGGGUUGUAAACCGCUUUCGCCUGUGACGAAGCGUGAGUGACGGUAAUGGGUAAAGAAGCACCGGCUAACUACGUG